This 480-nucleotide ribosomal RNA is filed under the name uncultured bacterium. RNAcentral's name for it is "bacterial SSU rRNA". It matches the Rfam family "Bacterial small subunit ribosomal RNA", at positions 903 to 1397 of the family's 1533-position model. The record is from RNAcentral.
AAAGGAAUAGACGGGGACCCGCACAAGCGGUGGAGCGUGUUGUUUAAUUCGAUGGUAAGCGAAGAACCUUACCCAGGUUUGACAUCCCGAGAAGGCUUCCGAAAGGAAACUGUGCUUUAUUGAACUCGGUGACAGGUGCUGCAUGGCCGUCGUCAGCUCGUGUCGUGAGAUGUAUGGUUAAGUCCAUUAACGAGCGCAACCCUUAUGUUUAGUUGGAUUUUUCUAAACAGACUGCCCUGGUAACAGGGAGGAAGGAGGGGAUGAUGUCAGGUCAGUAUUGCCCUUACACCUGGGGCUACAAACACGCUACAAUGGCCGGUACAAAGGGCUGCUAAGUCGCGAGACGGAGCUAAUCCCAUCAAAGCCGGUCUCAGUUCGGAUUGCAGGCUGAAACUCGCCUGCAUGAAGCUGGAAUCGCUAGUAACGGUAGGUCAGCACACUACCGUGAAUACGUUCCCGGGUCUUGUACACACCGCCCGU